AACGAACGCUGGCGGCAUGCCUAACACAUGCAAGUCGAACGAGACCUUCGGGUCUAGUGGCGCACGGGUGCGUAACGCGUGGGAAUCUGCCCUUGGGUUCGGAAUAACUUCGGGAAACUGAAGCUAAUACCGGAUGAUGACGUAAGUCCAAAGAUUUAUCGCCCAAGGAUGAGCCCGCGUAGGAUUAGCUAGUUGGUGAGGUAAAGGCUCACCAAGGCGACGAUCCUUAGCUGGUCUGAGAGGAUGAUCAGCCACACUGGGACUGAGACACGGCCCAGACUCCUACGGGAGGCAGCAGUGGGGAAUAUUGGACAAUGGGCGCAAGCCUGAUCCAGCCAUGCCGCGUGCAGGAUGACGGUCCUAUCGGAUUGUAAACUGCUUUAUACAGGAAGAAACGACUCCGACGUGUCGGAGCUUGACGGUACUGUAAGAAUAAGGAUCGGCUAACUCCGUGCCAGCAGCCGCG
This 466-nucleotide ribosomal RNA is filed under the name uncultured bacterium. RNAcentral's name for it is "bacterial SSU rRNA". It matches the Rfam family "Bacterial small subunit ribosomal RNA", at positions 29 to 519 of the family's 1533-position model. The record is from RNAcentral.